CCCUUAGAUGUUCUGGGCUGCACGCGUGCUACAAUGGCGUUUCCAGCAAGUCUGCGAACCCGAGAGGGCCAGCGGAUCUUCGAAUUGGCGUCGUGAUCGGGACAGUCGAUUGCAAUUAUUCGACUCAAACGAGGAAUUCCAUGUAAUCGCGAUUCAUCAUAUCGCGCUGAAUACGUCCCUGCCCUUUGUACACACCGCCCGUCGCUCCUACCGAGUGAGCGAUCCGGUAAAUGUUUUGGAUUGGUGCCGGGGCGGCUAGCUGCCGGUCGCUACGAAAUUUUGUGAACCUUAUCGCUUAGAGGAAGGAAAAGUCGUAACA
This 319-nucleotide ribosomal RNA is filed under the name uncultured eukaryote. Its description in RNAcentral is "partial 18S ribosomal RNA". It matches the Rfam family "Eukaryotic small subunit ribosomal RNA", at positions 1470 to 1796 of the family's 1831-position model. The record is from RNAcentral.